UGGCCGCCAGGCAUCUUGACGCCAACCCCAGCCACAACACGCACGCGAGGGGAUAAGCCCCAGGCCACACGUAUCCCCUCGCGCCGCUCCUCUCUCCAACCUAUGGCCGAGACCCCGCUUGCCUCCCUCGAUUCUCCUCUCCUCUCUCCUCUCACUUGCAAGCCCCCCAUCGCCGUCGGCCAGCUCUCCUUUCCUCGACGCUCCCUCCCGAUUCCCUCAGGAGUCACGCCUGAGCGCCCGAGGAGAGGAGCUCCUAGAGCACCCGCGUCCGCCGCCGGCAAGACCACGGCCAGGAGCUCCCCACGCGCCAUGGAGUUUGCAGAGGACCUCCCCUGCCUCACGCCGCCGCCUCGUUAGCCCCGCGCCCGGAGCGCGCCACUACGGCACCUCUCAUUCUCCCUCUUUUCCUUUCUUCUCCUCCCUGGAUCGUCCUCACCCCCCACGCAUCUCUCUCCCUCUAUGUGUUCCAGGAAACGGCCAUGGCCGAGCGCCAAGCCGAAUCGAGCUCUGACGCCCUCUGCUAUCCGUCGUGCCGGCCAGCCUCCUCUACGCCGGGGCCCUGCAGCCAUCCAACCGCCUCGGAUCUCGCCGGACCCGUCCGGAUCGAGACUCGCGUUGCCCGCCGAGCUUGCCACCUGCGAUGUCGCUGCCUUCUGUCGAGCAGGAGCUCGUCCGUGGACUCCUCUGCUCCCGUUGACCGAGCGAGCAAAUGCCCAUGACCCCCGUGGAUAGCACCGCAGUGGGUGCACUCUACACUGCGCUGCCGCACUGCUCCCGCUGCCGCCGCCUCGUCUCCCCUCCUUUCUCCAGUUUUUCCUCCCUCCAUCUUCCCGUCUCCUUCCUGACAGGAGCCAGAUGCCAUGAAUUCUCUUAGGAAGUCGCGCUCCGGCCUUAAUCGUCGUCACCGGCGACCCCCAUCCUCACCGCCCGCCUCCGAAUCCUUCCCAGCCCCUGCCGUGCAUGGAUCCGUUCGCUGCAAGCUCCAGCCGUCGCGCCGCCGCCGUUCUGCAGAUCGCGGGUUGAAUAGAUGAAAACACAGGGUCCUGUUUGUAAAUUCGAAACAUUUUUCUGACUGAGUAAAGCGUGUACUGCGGGUUAAUUUCUAAAAAAUGGGGGGACUUUUCUGCAAAA
Triticum dicoccoides is the source of this 1131-nucleotide long non-coding RNA. RefSeq lists it as uncharacterized. The transcript has 2 exons. Lineage: Eukaryota; Viridiplantae; Streptophyta; Magnoliopsida; Poales; Poaceae. The record is from RefSeq and is a predicted model, not a curated record.